GUGCUUACUUCGGCAGCACAUACACUAAAAAUUGGAACGAUACAGAGAAGAUUAGCAUGACCCCUGCGCAAGGAUGACACACAAAUUCAUGAAGCAUUCCAUAUUUUU
RNAcentral lists this small nuclear RNA (108 nucleotides) under Ailuropoda melanoleuca (giant panda). The record is from RNAcentral. Lineage: Eukaryota; Metazoa; Chordata; Mammalia; Carnivora; Ursidae.